UGGUCGAAAGAUGACAUUUGGUCGAAAGAUGACAUUUGGUUCGAAACAUAACAAUUGGUCCGAAAGAUAACUGUGAUAACUAAUAUGUCGAAAGAUAACUGUUGUAUCGUUAGAUAACUGUUGUGUCGAAAGAUAACAGUUGGGUCGAAAGAUAAUGGGGGGUUAUAAACAUACUUUGAAUGAUGGAAUGUAUGCUUGAUUUAUUUGGCAUGCCAUGCUUGGUGAUGAAUGUUAACAUUUGUAUUCGUGUACACUAGCUGAUGAUUAAAUGUGAAAUGAUACGUGUUGUGCCGAUAUGCAAACUGACUGUUAUGU
RNAcentral lists this long non-coding RNA (315 nucleotides) under Helianthus annuus (common sunflower). RNAcentral describes it as "hypothetical non coding rna". Lineage: Eukaryota; Viridiplantae; Streptophyta; Magnoliopsida; Asterales; Asteraceae. The record is from RNAcentral.